GACGGAGGAUGCAAGUGUUAUCCGGAAUCACUGGGCGUAAAGCGUCUGUAGGUGGUUUAAUAAGUCAACUGUUAAAUCUUGAGGCUCAACCUCAAAAUCGCAGUCGAAACUAUUAGGCUAGAGUAUAAUAGGGGUAAAGGGAAUUUCCAGUGGAGCGGUGAAAUGCGUAGAGAUUGGAAAGAACACCGAUGGCGAAGGCACUUUACUGGGCUAUUACUAACACUCAGAGACGAAAGCUAGGGUAGCAAACGGG
This 253-nucleotide ribosomal RNA is filed under the name uncultured bacterium. RNAcentral describes it as "partial 16S ribosomal RNA". It matches the Rfam family "Bacterial small subunit ribosomal RNA", at positions 524 to 776 of the family's 1533-position model. The record is from RNAcentral.